AAAGAAAAAUAAAUACGUAAUUACAGACUAUAUGACGGCACCUAUUGGAACCACUGGAACUUCAGCCAAUGUAACAAAUACUACAUCAGUGCAAAAACCACAAACACCAGUGAAUCAAAAUCAAAAUCAACAUCAACAUAAUAGUGAACCAAAAAACGCGUGACAAGAACCCCUCUCCGCCUCCCACCACGGCUGGUCACCGAGGGAGAGCUAGACCACCACCCUCCAAGGACACCCACUCAAUCAACAAGAGCGAGCACAUCCCUUCUUCAAGGUAUAUGCCCCAACUGAAAAAGCCACAGAUGAACAAGUGAAGAUUUUCUAUGAAAUAGUUGAAAGAGCAUACCAACAGGCAGAUAAAAACGUCAUAAUAAUGGGCGAUUUCAAUGCUAAGGUCGGACAGCCGAAACCAGAAGAGCAUAGGAUCACAGGUAAACAUGGUUACGGCUCGCGAAACCAGCGAGGUGAACUAUUGAUAAAUUACUGCCUUGAGAAAAACCUAGCCAUCAUGAACACAUAUUUCAUGAAAAAAUCUAAUCGAAAAUGGACAUGGAUCGCACCAAAUGGAAGGACGAAAAACGAGGUUGACUUUAUUCUCACAAACCAAAAA
Cydia splendana is the source of this 610-nucleotide long non-coding RNA. RefSeq lists it as uncharacterized. The record is from RefSeq and is a predicted model, not a curated record. The transcript has 2 exons. Lineage: Eukaryota; Metazoa; Arthropoda; Insecta; Lepidoptera; Tortricidae.